RNAcentral lists this ribosomal RNA (388 nucleotides) under uncultured bacterium. RNAcentral's name for it is "bacterial SSU rRNA". It matches the Rfam family "Bacterial small subunit ribosomal RNA", at positions 28 to 416 of the family's 1533-position model. The record is from RNAcentral.
GACGAACGCUGGCGGCGUGCUUAACACAUGCAAGUCGAGCGGUAAGGCCCUUUCGGGGGUACACGAGCGGCGAACGGGUGAGUAACACGUGGGUGACCUGCCCUCAGCUCUGGGAUAAGCCUGGGGAAACCGGGUCUAAUACCGGAUAUGACUCCAUGACGCAUGUUGUGGGGUGGAAAGCCUUGUGCGGCUGAGGAUGGGCCCGCGGCCUAUCAGCUUGUUGGUGGGGUGAUGGCCUACCAAGGCGACGACGGGUAGCCGGCCUGAGAGGGCGACCGGCCACACUGGGACUGAGACACGGCCCAGACUCCUACGGGAGGCAGCAGUGGGGAAUCUUGCGCAAUGGGCGAAAGCCUGACGCAGCGACGCCGCGUGAGGGAUGACGGCC